Molecule: ribosomal RNA, 405 nt
Filed under: uncultured bacterium
Lineage: Bacteria
Description: bacterial SSU rRNA
Rfam family: Bacterial small subunit ribosomal RNA
Source: RNAcentral
GGGGAAUAUUGCACAAUGGGCGAAAGCCUGAUGCAGCGACGCCGCGUGCGGGAUGAAGGCCUUCGGGUUGUAAACCGCUUUUGAUUGGGAGCAAGCGAGAGUGAGUGUACCUUUCGAAUAAGCACCGGCUAACUACGUGCCAGCAGCCGCGGUAAUACGUAGGGUGCAAGCGUUAUCCGGAAUUAUUGGGCGUAAAGAGCUCGUAGGCGGUUUGUCGCGUCUGGUGUGAAAGUCCAUCGCUUAACGGUGGAUCUGCGCCGGGUACGGGCAGGCUGGAGUGCAGUAGGGGAGACUGGAAUUCCCGGUGUAACGGUGGAAUGUGUAGAUAUCGGGAAGAACACCAAUGGCGAAGGCAGGUCUCUGGGCUGUUACUGACGCUGAGGAGCGAAAGCGUGGGGAGCGAAC